This is a long non-coding RNA of Pygocentrus nattereri (red-bellied piranha), 3237 nucleotides long. The record is from Ensembl. NCBI's taxonomy places the organism in Eukaryota, Metazoa, Chordata, Actinopteri, Characiformes, Serrasalmidae.
GUGCUUUACUGUGACCUGUUGCUAUUCUUCUGUUGGGAUGCUCUGGAACAUUUUUGGGGGGUCAGAAUUUUGCAGCUUGGCUGCCUAUGAGCCUAAGGUCACCGUGCCCAGUGACAAGCAUAGGCCAGAGGGGUAUAAAGCCCCCCAGAAUCCUCACAGCAGAGCUCCAGCAUCCACUCUGAAGCCUUUCCAGAAGAGUAGAGGCCGUUACAGCAGCACAAACUCCCCAGAAGUCAUUUUGAAUGAUCAAAUCAUGUGUAUGUGACACAAUCCUGGAAUCCACUGAACUUCCUGUUACUUCACAAAGUUCCGAAGCUAUUUUAAUGGCACUCUUAAGAAGCAGGAAAAGAGCGAAGGACUGGAGACGGAGCUGGAUUCAAAAUGAGCUUAGCGUACAUAAACCUGCUCCUGGCAGUUACAGGACUUUUGCAAGUGGUUAUUGCAGGUAAACCCCAGAAGGUUAAGAUUUCCGGUCCUGAGGAGGUGGUAGCUGGAGUGGAUGCCCUGUACGAGUGCUCUGCCCUCUGCACGGGACUCUGUCAUUACUCCUGGCUCUCGGAAGGCCGAACUGUUGAUGGACGCACGUUUACUCUGACUGCUGACGGCGUGAACACAGUCGUGUCGCUGGCGUGCACAGUGUCCGAUGAAGAGCGAAAGAACUUUGAGAGCAAGGUCAUAUCAGUGACAGUGAUAAAUCCCAUUUCCGUGAGGCCGUCAAAAGAUCAGCCGGUGCUUAACCGGGAGCCGAAAGUGGGCCGCUCGUUCAAGCUCACGUGUGAUGGCGCCACUCCACCAGUCACUAUAAUCUGGCUUAAGGGUUUUGAACUUAUUACUUUAAACUCCAGGAUGAGUCUGUCACCCGACAACACCACGCUGUCCUUUAGCAGUCUGGAGGCUAAGGACAGUGGUGAGUACAGGUGCAAAGUCCUUAAUGGAAGUGCCGCUGUCAUAAGCAAGGACUACUGGAUUUAUUUUGGCUUUGUUCAAGUGGGCCUGACUGGGCCGAGAAGUGCUGAAGUGGGCUUUGAGACUGAGUACACAUGCAGUGCAGAGUGUGGGGUGGACUGCACUGUACAGUGGGCGCUGCGUACCGGCUUUCCGAAGGGUAGAUUCAUCGCAGAUGGACCAAAGAUCCGCUGGACUCCGUCUGAACUCGGACAGACCCAGAUCUUCACCUGCCUUGCUCUUAACCCAGUAGCGGGCAAGCUUGGAGAGGUGUCUGUACCUGUGACUGUUAUAGAGGCGCGGCCACGCCCCAGACCCAGCAAUGCCAUCUCAGCCAGGCCCAGUGUUGCCAUGGUGAUCGGUGCCACUCUACUGAUGCUGGUUUGUGCUUUGGCCUGAGGGGGGAGCUCCAGAGCCAGGCACAUAUAAAUGUGUGUCAGGGCUGCAUCCUAGAGGAGCUUUUCCAGUACAGAAUGCAUUCCCUUCUGUUCUAUUCCCUACCCAGACUUCAACAAAAACAUAUGUGUGUGUGUGUGUGUGUGUGUGUGUGUGUGUGUGUGUGUGUGUGUGUGUAUAUAUAUAUAUAUAUAUAUAUAUAUAUAGUGAGCAAUCAUCUACUACUGCUACUGAUCGUAUCUUCUCUGUCAUUAUACCUGUCAGCUUCAUCAGAUAUUCAUAUUCAGCAUUUUUUUAGUGAUAUAACUGAUUAUUAAUGAUUUUUAAAUGUUUAGCACCUUUAUGAGCCAAUAAUAAUCUAAAUUUAAGCCAUACAUAAAACACUAUUGCCCUUUUUGCAAAGCAGUGUCCAAAUAACAUGUUCAGUUUAGUUUUUAGUUUAUUUUUUGUGUCUGAAAUGUAUUUUUCCAUUUGGUUAUAUUGCCUGUUUGAAACGUUGUAAUGCGGCACUGGAUCUGAGAAAGAAAGCAUUUGUAUGAUCGUGAGCGUUAGUAUUAUUAGGGGUCCAAGCACUUAUUAUCAUUUAUUUCAUUACAUGUAUCAUCCAACACAAGCUCCCAGGUUAGCACACCUCUAACUCACAUUCUAAUCUUGUGGUCUGAAUGUAAAUAUACGACGUAUUGGAAAAUUCCACGCUGUGCAGUAAAAUGUUUAAAGUGAGCCCUUCCCUCAGGCCUUUGUCAGAGAGCAGGCCGUGACUCUGUUUGCUGUCCACUCCUUCUGAUGAUAAUUCUCUCUCUCUCUCUGAAUCUCCUCUAUUCACCAAGUCUUUUCAAUCCACAUGAAGGCACACAGGUACACGGUGUCCCAGUAGUAAAACUGAGCCUCUUGCUAAAUGUUUGCAGGUUUGGAAAAUGUCCACACAGCGGUUAAUCAUCUACUGUUACACCGCAUACGUAACUCACUCUGAUGAUGUCAUUUCAGUGUUUCUGUCUUAUCAGCUCAGUUCAUAUCACAUGAAUGCAUUAAAAAGGAAGAGAAGCUACAGCAGUCAUACAAACACAUAAACAUGGGUGCAUGUCUUCUUUUCAAUGUGCUGAAGGGCUUUGUGUGCACUGUCAUCAACAUUUGACUAACAAAAGGAGCUGCAGGCAGGUAGAGCUAUCCUUCAGAUAAACACCAGCACAGCACCGUCUCACUGAGGAACAGACACUGCAGUGUAAUGUACAAGCUUUGUUUUCUAACUUCAUCUCCUGGGGUUUUUUUUUGACAUUCCUACUUAAAAGAAGCCAAUAAGGUGUUACUUGAACCCUGCUAGGUGACAGCACAUGGCAUCUGACAUGUCACGGUUACAUUUUACAUUUUACAUUUAUGGCAUUUGGCUGACGCUCUUAUCCAGAGCGACUUACGAUUUGAUCAUUUUACACAAGUAGGCAAAGGUGGUGUUAGGAAUCUUGCCCAAGGACUCUUAUUGGUAUAGUGUAGGGUGCUGCCCAGGUUGGGGUUUGAACCCUAGUCUACAGUGUAGAAGGCACAGAUGUUAACCACUACACAGGGCUGUUUUAGAUAGAUAGAUAGAUAGAUAGAUAGAUAGAUAGAUAGAUAGAUAGAUAGAUAGAUAGAUAGAUAGAUAGAUAGAUAGAUAGAUAGAUAGAUAGAUAGAUAGAUAGAUAGAUAGAUAGAUAGGCAGACAGACAGAUAGACAGAGAGAUGGGCAGACAAAGAUAGAUAGAUAGAUAGAUAGAUAGAUAGAUAGAUAGAUAGAUAGAUAGAUAGAUAGAUAGAUAGAUAGAUAGAUAGGCUUUAUUGAUCCCGAAGGAAUUUUAGCUUUUUAAUUUUUGAACCUUUAGGGGUCCUAAGUAAUCUUGGGCCCCACCAACCCACAGUUUUGUGUGU